AUGAGAAUAGGUGAUGGGGUUCGCCUUUAAACGCAUUUAUGCUGAUGACUCCUGCAAUGAA
Molecule: non-coding RNA, 61 nt
Filed under: Peptoclostridium acidaminophilum
Lineage: Bacteria; Bacillati; Bacillota; Clostridia; Peptostreptococcales; Peptoclostridiaceae
Also listed under: 1 other name
Description: Fluoride sequence
Rfam family: Fluoride riboswitch aptamer (crcB RNA motif)
Source: RNAcentral